This 413-nucleotide ribosomal RNA is filed under the name cf. Ehrlichia sp. GA. RNAcentral describes it as "bacterial SSU rRNA". It matches the Rfam family "Bacterial small subunit ribosomal RNA", at positions 64 to 504 of the family's 1533-position model. The record is from RNAcentral. Lineage: Bacteria; Pseudomonadati; Pseudomonadota; Alphaproteobacteria; Rickettsiales; Anaplasmataceae.
UAACGGAUUAUUCUUUAUAGCUUGCUAUAGUUAUAGUUAGUGGCAGACGGGUGAGUAAUGCAUAGGAAUCUGCCUAGUAGUAUGGAAUAGCUGUUAGAAAUGACAGGUAAUACCGUAUAAUCCCUGCGGGGGAAAGAUUUAUCGCUAUUAGAUGAGCCUAUGUUAGAUUAGCUAGUUGGUGAGGUAAUAGCUUACCAAGGCUAUGAUCUAUAGCUGGUCUGAGAGGACGAUCAGCCACACUGGAACUGAGAUACGGUCCAGACUCCUACGGGAGGCAGCAGUGGGGAAUAUUGGACAAUGGGCGCAAGCCUGAUCCAGCUAUGCCGCAUGAGUGAAGAAGGCCUUAGGGUUGUAAAACUCUUUCAGCAGGGAAGAUAAUGACGGUACCUGCAGAAGAAGUCCCGGCAAACUCA